AGAUUGAUCAUGGCUAGGGAUGAACGCUGCGCUGCUUAAUACAUGCAAGUCGAACGGAGUUGUGAUGUGAGCGAGAGAAAGCUUGCUUUUAAUCAAUCUUUUCAUAACUUAGUGGCGGACGGGUGAGUAACGCGUGGGUAACCUGCCCUGUACAGGGGGAUAACGGCUGGAAACGGCCGCUAAAACCGCAUAACGUCGGAAUACCGCAUGAUGUUCCGGCCAAAUAUUUAUAGGUACAGGAUGGGCCCGCGUCUGAUUAGCUAGAUGGUGAGGUAACGGCCCACCAUGGCGACGAUCAGUAGCCGUACUGAGAGGUAGAACGGCCACAUUGGGACUGAGACACGGCCCAAACUCCUACGGGAGGCAGCAGUAGGGAAUAUUGGUCAAUGGGGGAAACCUGAACCGCGACGCCGCGUGAGUGAAGAAGUAUUUCGGUAUGUAAAGCUCUAUCAGCAGGGACGAUGAUGACGGUACCUGACUAUGAAGCCCCGGCUAACUACGUGCCAGCAGCCGCGGUAAUACGUAAGGGGCAAGCGUUAUCCGGAUUACUGGGUGUAAAGGAGUGUAGGUGGCGUGCAG
RNAcentral lists this ribosomal RNA (579 nucleotides) under uncultured rumen bacterium. Its description in RNAcentral is "bacterial SSU rRNA". It matches the Rfam family "Bacterial small subunit ribosomal RNA", at positions 10 to 585 of the family's 1533-position model. The record is from RNAcentral.